GUUGCUCCAUAAUCAUCUCUCAGUUACUUGUGUGGGGCGUUAGUACUGUGUAGAGCACUCACACAGCUGGUCAGGUACAUUCAUAUUAUAGUGGAGAUGUUUAUGACCAUUGGUGCCACUGACAGUUUGCAGAUAUGCCACAAGAUUUAGAGAAAAAUGCCUGGAUAUUUAGAAAACUGUGGUUUCUAAUCAACCAAUGGCAUGUUGUAAUACUGUUACAUAAUAUAUAAAAUCUCUGUAUUUGAUUUUCCAAUUUGUGUCAUUAGUUAUAAAUACCCUCAAAGUUAUCUAAUUAGCUUAUAAUUAACAUGUCAUUAAGAACAUAGUUAUCUUUAGGUUCAUUGAUGUAAACUGAACCUCAGUGUUUUAGCUUAUCUGGGUUUUUGUGUGCCUUAUCUUAUUAACUGUAAUAUUACAAACAGUUGCAUUUAGGGCACCAAUGAUGUGCUGGAGAGUCCUCGUGUAUUUGUGUCUGUGUUUACCCCUGGCAUUCAUCACCUGUAUGACCAGGCGUGACUUAAGAUAAGUAUCAAGUUAUUUUAGAAAACUUGUGAAGCUCACAUCUGGUUGCUUAAUAGAAAACUCGCUCUUAAAAUGUUCAUAUUUAAGAUGUACACUUUUUUUUAUGAGAAUAUUUUGUUGAAUUAUGAUCCAAACAAU
Long non-coding RNA from Octopus sinensis (East Asian common octopus), 660 nucleotides. RefSeq lists it as uncharacterized. The transcript is spliced from 3 exons. The record is from RefSeq and is a predicted model, not a curated record. Lineage: Eukaryota; Metazoa; Mollusca; Cephalopoda; Octopoda; Octopodidae.